This 525-nucleotide ribosomal RNA is filed under the name uncultured bacterium. Its description in RNAcentral is "bacterial SSU rRNA". It matches the Rfam family "Bacterial small subunit ribosomal RNA", at positions 20 to 518 of the family's 1533-position model. The record is from RNAcentral.
UGGCUCAGGACGAACGCUGGCGGCGUGCCUAAUACAUGCAAGUCGAACGGCUUUUCUAUGGAAGCUUGCUUCCACUGAGAAGAUAGUGGCGAACGGGUGAGUAACACGUGGGUAACCUGCCCAUAAGAGGGGGAUAACAUCCGGAAACGGGUGCUAAUACCGCAUAGUUUUCUUGAUCGCAUGAUUGAGAAAGGAAAGACGGCCUUUGUGCUGUCGCUUAUGGAUGGACCCGCGGCGUAUUAGUUAGUUGGUGAGGUAACGGCUCACCAAGACGAUGAUACGUAGCCGACCUGAGAGGGUGAUCGGCCACAUUGGGACUGAGACACGGCCCAAACUCCUACGGGAGGCAGCAGUAGGGAAUCUUCCGCAAUGGACGAAAGUCUGACGGAGCAACGCCGCGUGAGUGAAGAAAGGUUUUCGGAUCGUAAAACUCUGUUGUCAGAGAAGAACAAGUUGGAGAGUAACUGCUCCAGCCUUGACGGUAUCUGACCAGAAAGCCACGGCUAACUACGUGCCAGCAGCCGC